RNAcentral lists this ribosomal RNA (468 nucleotides) under uncultured bacterium. RNAcentral describes it as "partial 16S ribosomal RNA". It matches the Rfam family "Bacterial small subunit ribosomal RNA", at positions 28 to 507 of the family's 1533-position model. The record is from RNAcentral.
GACGAACGCUGGCGGCGUGCUUAACACAUGCAAGUCGAACGGAAAGGCCCUGCUUUUGUGGGGUGCUCGAGUGGCGAACGGGUGAGUAACACGUGAGUAACCUGCCCUUGACUUUGGGAUAACUUCAGGAAACUGGGGCUAAUACCGCAUAGGAGCUCCUGCUGCAUGGUGGGGGUUGGAAAGUUUCGGCGGUUGGGGAUGGACUCGCGGCUUAUCAGCUUGUUGGUGGGGUAGUGGCUUACCAAGGCUUUGACGGGUAGCCGGCCUGAGAGGGUGACCGGCCACAGUGGGACUGAGAUACGGCCCAGACGCCUACGGGAGGCAGCGGUGGGGAAUAUUGCAAAAUGGGCGGAAGCCUGAUGCAGCAACGCCGCGUGCGGGAUGACGGCCUUCGGGUUGUAAACCGCUUUCGCCUGUGACGAAGCGUGAGUGACGGUAAUGGGUAAAGAAGCAACGGCUAACUACGUG